AUGCAAGUCGAGCGGGGGAAGGUAGCUUGCUACUGGACCUAGCGGCGGACGGGUGAGUAAUGCUUAGGAAUCUGCCUAUUAGUGGGGGACAACAUCUCGAAAGGGAUGCUAAUACCGCAUACGUCCUACGGGAGAAAGCAGGGGAUCUUCGGACCUUGCGCUAAUAGAUGAGCCUAAGUCGGAUUAGCUAGUUGGUGGGGUAAAGGCCUACCAAGGCGACGAUCUGUAGCGGGUCUGAGAGGAUGAUCCGCCACACUGGGACUGAGACACGGCCCAGACUCCUACGGGAGGCAGCAGUGGGGAAUAUUGGACAAUGGGGGGAACCCUGAUCCAGCCAUGCCGCGUGUGUGAAGAAGGCCUUAUGGUUGUAAAGCACUUUAAGCGAGGAGGAGGCUACUUUAGUUAAUACCUAGAGAUAGUGGACGUUACUCGCAGAAUAAGCACCGGCUAACUCUGUGCCAGCAGCCGCGGUAAUACAGAGGGUGCGAGCGUUAAUCGGAUUUACUGGGCGUAAAGCGUGCGUAGGCGGCUUAUUAAGUCGGAUGUGAAAUCCCC
Molecule: ribosomal RNA, 555 nt
Filed under: Acinetobacter baumannii OIFC189
Lineage: Bacteria; Pseudomonadati; Pseudomonadota; Gammaproteobacteria; Moraxellales; Moraxellaceae
Description: bacterial SSU rRNA
Rfam family: Bacterial small subunit ribosomal RNA
Source: RNAcentral